AGAUUGAACGCUGGCGGCAUGCCUUACACAUGCAAGUCGAACGGCAGCACGGGAGCAAUCCUGGUGGCGAGUGGCGAACGGGUGAGUAAUAUAUCGGAACGUGCCCAGUCGUGGGGGAGUAACGCAGUGAAAGCUGUGCUAAUACCGCAUACGAUCUAUGGAUGAAAGCGGGGGACUCGCAAGAGCCUCGCGCGAUUGGAGCGGCCGAUAUCAGAUUAGCUAGUUGGUGGGGUAAAAGCCCACCAAGGCGACGAUCUGUAGCUGGUCUGAGAGGACGACCAGCCACACUGGAACUGAGACACGGUCCAGACUCCUACGGGAGGCAGCGAGUGGGGAUUUGGACAAU
This 346-nucleotide ribosomal RNA is filed under the name uncultured soil bacterium. RNAcentral's name for it is "bacterial SSU rRNA". It matches the Rfam family "Bacterial small subunit ribosomal RNA", at positions 26 to 372 of the family's 1533-position model. The record is from RNAcentral.